CGCACUAUCUGGCGAAGCCGCAGCCAAGGGAGCGGGCGUGGGACAAUCAGCGGGGAAAGAAGACCCUGUUGAGCUUGACUCUAGUCCGACGUUGUGAAAUGACUUAUGAGGUGUAGAAUAUGUGGGAGCUUCGGCAACAGUGAAAUACCACAACUCGUAAUGUUGUUUUACUUAUUCUGUGACGUAU
RNAcentral lists this ribosomal RNA (187 nucleotides) under Alexandrium monilatum. RNAcentral's name for it is "partial Eukaryotic large subunit ribosomal RNA". It matches the Rfam family "Eukaryotic large subunit ribosomal RNA", at positions 2348 to 2536 of the family's 3401-position model. The record is from RNAcentral. Lineage: Eukaryota; Dinophyceae; Gonyaulacales; Pyrocystaceae.